RNAcentral lists this ribosomal RNA (506 nucleotides) under uncultured bacterium. Its description in RNAcentral is "partial 16S ribosomal RNA". It matches the Rfam family "Bacterial small subunit ribosomal RNA", at positions 28 to 523 of the family's 1533-position model. The record is from RNAcentral.
GAUGAACGCUAGCUACAGGCUUAACACAUGCAAGUCGAGGGGUAACGAGAGGAAAGCUUGCUUUCCUUGUCGACGACCGGCGCACGGGUGAGUAACGCGUAUCCAACCUGCCCCCAACUAGGGAAUAACCUUGCGAAAGUAAGACUAAUACCCUAUAAUUUCCUCAGAUGUCAUCUGACGAGGAAUAAAGAUUUAUCGGUUGUGGAUGGGGAUGCGUCUGAUUAGCUUGUUGGCGGGGUAACGGCCCACCAAGGCAACGAUCAGUAGGGGUUCUGAGGAGAAGGUCCCCCACAUUGGAACUGAGACACAGUCCAAACUCCUACGGGAGGCAGCAGUGGGGAAUAUUGGUCAAUGGGCGGAAGCCUGAACCAGCCAAGUAGCGUGCAGGAUGACGGCCCUAUGGGUUGUAAACUGCUUUUAUACAGGAAUAAAGUUAGCCACGUGUGGUUAUUUGUAGGUACUGUAUGAAUAAGGACCAGCUAAUUCCGUGCCAGCAGCCGCCGUAA